CGCAUCCAGGCCGUCAUCGACUACAAGGCCAGGAUCGAAAAAGUGAGGAUCUACAAAGGACCUGCGAGAGACAUCAGACUUACCCGGGAACAAUACUUGCGGGUGCCUCCGUGGUGGAUUGCCAAUGAUUAUCCGUGCUGGGAAAUGAUAGUGGACCGGUGGUGCUCGCAAGAGUGGGUGGAGAUGCACGAGGCUGCCCGGCAGCGGCGUUUGCUGAUGCCAGGUGCAUCACACCAUCAGGGCAACCGUAACCUCAAGGCGUACGCGGCUAGAUAUUCGGCGUCACAUGGUGGUGUGCCUUGCACCCAAGUCCAGGCAUACUGUUUGGCCCACAAAGGAAAGGCGACGUCCGAUGUCACCUUCAACCCGCAGGAUCCGCCCGAAGUGUACAGCAACGCAAGCGUCCACAGCCGCCUCAGUGGGUACACCUCGAUGGCACAAGAAGU
Panicum virgatum (switchgrass) is the source of this 446-nucleotide long non-coding RNA. RefSeq lists it as uncharacterized. NCBI's taxonomy places the organism in Eukaryota, Viridiplantae, Streptophyta, Magnoliopsida, Poales, Poaceae. The record is from RefSeq and is a predicted model, not a curated record. The transcript is spliced from 3 exons.